CCGCAGUCAGUCCGUAACCUGGUCUGGGAACUUGGGGCUAGUCCACGCCAAUAGAGGAACAAUGCCUCCUCAGUUCAAGUCCAACAAAAGACCUGGCGAACUUGUUUGAAUUUCAGAGCACGUCCUUUCUUUCACAGAGAGGACUGCCCCCUCCCGAACACCCUUCAUGAAAAAAAAAGAAAGAAAGAAAAGGAAAGAAAGGGGGGGAAAACAUGCCGACCUUCUCUGCUCAACAGUGCACUUUUCUAUUUGGUGCUGCAGACAAAUAGGUUAUGGGAAACUUCUCAACCCCUCCUCUCUCUCUCUCCCCCCCUCUCACUGGCUCUCGCUUAUACGGUAGCUGUCGUUCUCGUGCGCUUGGACUGUGCUCUUGUGAGAAUCAGAGCCGCUGAGACACGCGUAAUGAACUGAGUAUUAGCGGCAAUUUUAAAUCGAAAGCGCUCUGUGCACGCCGGUUUCUUACCAACAGCAGGAGUUGCAUCUGGUCACGUCGACUUCGGCAUAAUAAUAAAAAAAAACAACAAAAAAAAAAACCUUUGCUCAAGGCUGAAGGAAAAUGUGACCAUCACUUACCCACUGGAAUUGAGCAGGAGGAAACUGGCAUCAAUUUUAUCAAAUGAUUAACCAACAUGAAGUGAGUCGCAUGCACACUUUUGUGUGUGCUUUUCUUCAGACGUAUGACAACCUAGCCUGGGCAUAAUUUGUAAGG
Cyprinus carpio carpio is the source of this 709-nucleotide long non-coding RNA. NCBI's taxonomy places the organism in Eukaryota, Metazoa, Chordata, Actinopteri, Cypriniformes, Cyprinidae. The record is from Ensembl.